GACGAACGCUGGCGGCGUGCCUAAUACAUGCAAGUUGAGCGCUGAAGGUUGGUACUUGUACCAACUGGAUGAGCAGCGAACGGGUGAGUAACGCGUGGGGAAUCUGCCUUUGAGCGGGGGACAACAUUUGGAAACGAAUGCUAAUACCGCAUAAAAACUUUAAACACAAGUUUUAAGUUUGAAAGAUGCAAUUGCAUCACUCAAAGAUGAUCCCGCGUUGUAUUAGCUAGUUGGUGAGGUAAAGGCUCACCAAGGCGAUGAUACUUAGCCGACCUGAGAGGGUGAUCGGCCACAUUGGGACUGAGACACGGCCCAAACUCCUACGGGAGGCAGCAGUAGGGAAUCUUCGGCAAUGGACGAAAGUCUGACCGAGCAACGCCGCGUGAGUGAAGAAGGUUUUCGGAUCGUAAAACUCUGUUGGUAGAGAAGAACGUUGGUGAGAGUGGAAAGCUCAUCAAGUGACGGUAACUACCCAGAAAGGGACGGCUAACUACGUG
This 497-nucleotide ribosomal RNA is filed under the name uncultured bacterium. RNAcentral describes it as "partial 16S ribosomal RNA". It matches the Rfam family "Bacterial small subunit ribosomal RNA", at positions 28 to 507 of the family's 1533-position model. The record is from RNAcentral.